Molecule: transfer RNA, 65 nt
Filed under: Cnemoplites edulis
Lineage: Eukaryota; Metazoa; Arthropoda; Insecta; Coleoptera; Cerambycidae
Also listed under: 1 other name
Description: tRNA-Arg
Source: RNAcentral
AAAUAAGAAGCAAAAUUUGCGUUUAGUUUCGACCUAAAACCCUGAUGAGUAAUCAUCCUUAUUUA